AUUGAACGCUAGCGGCAGGCCUAACACAUGCAAGUCGAACGGUAACAGGAAGAAGCUUGCUUCUUUGCUGACGAGUGGCGGACGGGUGAGUAAUGUCUGGGAAACUGCCUGAUGGAGGGGGAUAACUACUGGAAACGGUAGCUAAUACCGCAUAACGUCGCAAGACCAAAGAGGGGGACCUUCGGGCCUCUUGCCAUCGGAUGUGCCCAGAUGGGAUUAGCUAGUAGGUGGGGUAACGGCUCACCUAGGCGACGAUCCCUAGCUGGUCUGAGAGGAUGACCAGCCACACUGGAACUGAGACACGGUCCAGACUCCUACGGGAGGCAGCAGUGGGGAAUAUUGCACAAUGGGCGCAAGCCUGAUGCAGCCAUGCCGCGUGUAUGAAGAAGGCCUUCGGGUUGUAAAGUACUUUCAGCGGGGAGGAAGGGAGUAAAGUUAAUACCUUUACUCAUUGACGUUACCCGCAGAAGAAGCGCCGGCUAACUCCGUG
Molecule: ribosomal RNA, 490 nt
Filed under: uncultured bacterium
Lineage: Bacteria
Description: partial 16S ribosomal RNA
Rfam family: Bacterial small subunit ribosomal RNA
Source: RNAcentral